RNAcentral lists this ribosomal RNA (459 nucleotides) under uncultured bacterium. RNAcentral describes it as "partial 16S ribosomal RNA". It matches the Rfam family "Bacterial small subunit ribosomal RNA", at positions 338 to 795 of the family's 1533-position model. The record is from RNAcentral.
CCUACGGGUGGCUGCAGUGAGGAAUAUUGGUCAAUGGCCGGAAGGCGGAACCAGCCAAGCCGCGUGAGGGAGGAAGGCGCAGAGCGUCGCAGACCUCUUUUGCCGGGGGACAAAAGGCCGGACGGGUCCGGGUCUGAGGGUACCCGGAGAAAAAGCAUCGGCUAACUCCGUGACAGCAGCCGCGGUAAUACGGAGGAUGCGAGCGUUAUCCGGAUUCAUUGGGUGUAAAGGGUGCGCAGGCGGAUUUUUAAGUCAGCGGUCAAAUCGUGGGGCUCAACCCCAUCCAGCCGUUGAAACUGGGGAUCUAGAGUGUGCGAGAGGUAUGUGGAAUGCGUGGUGUAGCGGUGAAAUGCAUAGAUAUCACGCAGAACCCCGAUUGCGAAGGCAGCAUACCGGUGCACAACUGACGCUCAGGCACGAAAGCGUGGGUAUCGAACAGGAUUAGAUACCCGGGUAGUC